GGAGCACACAACCCUUUGAAGGUGGGAGCAGCACCUGUUUACACUCAGAGCGGGCCAUUUUCCUGGUUUGGACAGAGCCCAUAACCACACGAGUGCUUUGAAUAUGAUCUGUACUGGGGAAACAAAGCAAAACAGACAAAUUGCAGUGCUCAGGUUCUGCCAAGGGCAGCAGACAGUGAACCACAUGAAGAAGCCUCAAACUAAUGGACUCCCAUAGAUCCAGUGCCUCAGAUGCAGAUGACACUCUGGGAAGGCAGACACCACCUCUCUCCUGCACUCCGCCAUUCUCCAGGAUUGGGAAGGAUUCUGGGCACACAGUAGGCAUUUAUUAAAUAUUCAUUGGAUGAAUAAAUGAUAAAUGAAUAUUCAUUAUCAUUCUCUCCACAUAUUAAAUCAAAUGCUUCAAAACACUGUAGAAUGGGAAUUAAUUGCCUCCCUUAGUCAUUAUUUUUAUCUAUAGCUAUCAUCAAACCUUCACCCACUCAGAGUUAAUAAUUGAAAAACAGACACAUAACAAGUUAGCAGAGAGGAGAGCUCA
Long non-coding RNA from Gorilla gorilla gorilla (western lowland gorilla), 538 nucleotides. RefSeq lists it as uncharacterized. NCBI's taxonomy places the organism in Eukaryota, Metazoa, Chordata, Mammalia, Primates, Hominidae. The transcript is spliced from 3 exons. The record is from RefSeq and is a predicted model, not a curated record.